GGAGGGAGAGACGACGUGGUGGUGGAGGAGAGAAGGAUGUGGAGAGGCACGGAGGGAAGUGAGGGAAGAAAGUGAGGUCUUCAGAUCCUGUGACUCUGCUGCCUCCUGCUGGCUGAAGGUGAAUACUGCAGGCUGCUGACAGAUGGCUGGCAUCCUCAACUAUGAUAACAUCAAGAACUGCUGCAACAGCUCAACUUUGAAAGAAAACCGCUGGUAGAUCGCCGCCUCGGGAGCCGUCCAACGCACCGGGAUCUUUGUGCUUCGACUGGCCGUAUACACACUGUCCUGGAGAAAGACAAGACACACACACACACACACCAUCCUAACCUUAAUAAUACGAGCCAAUCCGAAGUCGGCCACCUUGCAGACCAGAUCAUCUCCCACCAGGAUGUUCCUGGCUGCCAGGUCUCUGUGGACGAUGUUUCUGUCCUCCAGUCAGCACUCACAGGCCAGGUAGGACUUGAGGCUUCCUUUGCUCAUGAGUUCGGUCACGAUGUAGACCGGCUCUCCUCUGGAGCACA
This is a long non-coding RNA of Thunnus maccoyii (southern bluefin tuna), 521 nucleotides long. RefSeq lists it as uncharacterized. The record is from RefSeq and is a predicted model, not a curated record. The transcript is spliced from 6 exons. NCBI's taxonomy places the organism in Eukaryota, Metazoa, Chordata, Actinopteri, Scombriformes, Scombridae.